AUAGAAACUGCGACCUCAUCGCACUGAAACCUCAUUCCAGAAUGGCAUUCGUGGGCACGACCCAACCGAGUUUAUAAUUGUCUCUGUGAAGUUUAAUCAGGCUCUCACAGACUAUAAUCGAAGUAAACAGGGUCUAACAACAACCAAACUCAUGUGCCCUCGGCACAAUCUGAUGCAAAAACAGCAAAUUGGGUUCACCGUAAUCCUAAACGGCACCCGACAGAUCGGAACAGCCUAAACACUACUGUAAAAAUAAGCUCGGCAUCUCAGCACGAGCGUAAAUGCAUUCUACACUAUCCUGGGUAUCCACGGCUUACAAACUGCGGCGAUACAAACCAACUACGGUUCCUAAAGCUAAAACUGGUAGUUUUAACAUAUGACUAUGUAGAAACACUAGUUUUUUCUUAAGUCAAAUCCAAAUCCAAUAUGUAUAAUUUGACUAACAUUUAAGCUCCAAAUUCAGAUUCCAAUAAGCAUGCAAAUCCAUGAAUUGAGCUAUCUAACAUGAUAAACAAUAAUCAAUAUACAUGCCGACGACUACAACUUAGAAGGAAAUACAAUAAUUCCGGUAGCUUAACAUUCAACCCACCUCUAGUGCAAUUCCACGGCAGCGAGGAGUCGCCGGAAUCCCUGCCAAGCUCAGACAGAACCAGCAACAAGCCUCUCUAAGGAUUUAAACAAUAAAAUCCAUCAAUAAUCCAAAAUUCAGCACUAAAGCUCAAAUUUACAACAAUCUCAAUGUCGAUUUCACCUUCCGAUCUUCAAAUCAGGUGAGAAAAGGUCCCAAAACCAGUGAAUUAUGAUGGAGUAUCACUCUCUGGUUCAAAUCCAACUUCCUCCCAAGAUCUAAACACAACAAUAUCAAAAUUGCAUCAAUAACCCCAAAAUUCAGCACUUAAGCUAGAUUUCCCUCACUUUAAAUGUCAACUUACCUUCUAAUACUCAAAUUAGA
Molecule: long non-coding RNA, 952 nt
Filed under: Ananas comosus (pineapple)
Lineage: Eukaryota; Viridiplantae; Streptophyta; Magnoliopsida; Poales; Bromeliaceae
Description: long non-coding RNA (ACOM_LNC020038)
Source: RNAcentral